CAGUCGAGCGAAGCGCAUAGAUUUGAUUCUUCGGAUGAAGAUCUAUGCGACUGAGCGGCGGACGGGUGAGUAACGCGUGGGUAACCUGCCUUACACAGGGGGAUAACAGUUAGAAAUGACUGCUAAUACCGCAUAAGACCCCGGUACCGCAUGGUACAGAGGUAAAAACUGAGGUGGUGUAAGAUGGACCCGCGUCUGAUUAGGUAGUUGGUGAGGUAACGGCUCACCAAGCCGACGAUCAGUAGCCGGCCUGAGAGGGUGGACGGCCACAUUGGGACUGAGACACGGCCCAGACUCCUACGGGAGGCAGCAGUGGGGAAUAUUGCACAAUGGGGGAAACCCUGAUGCAGCGACGCCGCGUGAGCGAUGAAGUAUUUCGGUAUGUAAAGCUCUAUCAGCAGGGAAGAAAAUGACGGUACCUGACUAAGAAGCCCCGGCUAACUACGUGCCAGCAGCCGCGGUAAUACGUAGGGGGCAAGCGUUAUCCGGAUUUACUGGGUGUAAAGGGAGCGUAGACGGCAUGGCAAGCCAGAUGUGAAAUACCGGGGCUCAACCCCGGGACUGCAUUUGGAACUGUUAAGCUGGAGUGUCGGAGAGGCAGGCGGAAUUCCUAGUGUAGCGGUGAAAUGCGUAGAUAUUAAGGGGAACACCAGUGGCGAAGGCGGCCUGCUGGACGAUAACUGACGUUGAGGCUCGAAAGCGUGGGGAGCAAACA
This 715-nucleotide ribosomal RNA is filed under the name uncultured bacterium. RNAcentral describes it as "bacterial SSU rRNA". It matches the Rfam family "Bacterial small subunit ribosomal RNA", at positions 59 to 774 of the family's 1533-position model. The record is from RNAcentral.